This 254-nucleotide ribosomal RNA is filed under the name uncultured bacterium. RNAcentral's name for it is "partial 16S ribosomal RNA". It matches the Rfam family "Bacterial small subunit ribosomal RNA", at positions 524 to 776 of the family's 1533-position model. The record is from RNAcentral.
UACGAAGGUCCCAAGCGUUUAUCCGGAAUCAUUGGGUUUAAAGGGUCCGUAGGCGGUUUAAUAAGUCAGUGGUGAAAGCCCAUCGCUCAACGGUGGAACGGCCAUUGAUACUGUUAAACUUGAAUUAUUAGGAAGUAACUAGAAUAUGUAGUGUAGCGGUGAAAUGCUUAGAGAUUACAUGGAAUACCAAUUGCGAAGGCAGGUUACUACUAAUGGAUUGACGCUGAUGGACGAAAGCGUGGGUAGCGAACAGG